This 74-nucleotide transfer RNA is filed under the name Alosa alosa (allis shad). Its description in RNAcentral is "tRNA-Ile". It matches the Rfam family "tRNA". Rfam says of the family: Transfer RNA (tRNA) molecules are approximately 80 nucleotides in length. The record is from RNAcentral. Lineage: Eukaryota; Metazoa; Chordata; Actinopteri; Clupeiformes; Clupeidae.
GCUCCAGUGGCACAAUCGGUCAGCGCGCGGUACUUAUAAUGCCGAGGUUGUGAGUUCUAGCCUCACCUGGAGCA